UUAUUACAUCUAAAUAUAAGUACAUACAUAUUAUAAUACAUAAACAUUAUAAUACAAUAACUAAAAUACAAAUUAAAUAUUAUUCCUGAGUUUGAGGAGGAAUAUUUUUAUGACCCCAAGAUAAUGUUCUACCUUCAGAAUUGUUUAACAUGUAACGUUUAUCAUCUUUGAAAGAUAAAGCAAUUUUUUUCUUUAAUUCUGUGUAAAUGUUAUGAAGCUUCGAACGAAAGAUAUUCAUUUCUUUAAUAAUUUCAGUGUUUGGAACAGUAACUGCGUUUUGGUAGUCAAUUUUAUGUAAUUUACUUCUAAUUACAUUGUGUUUAAUAACCUUAGCUUUUUUAGAUGAUUCACCUUCAACAUCCACAUAAUAUGCUUUAGCACCUGUUCCUAAAAAUUCUGAUAUUACACGCCCUUUAUAUUCAUCUUUCAUCUUCCCGAUGACAGAAGACGAUACAGUUUUUAAGCCAAACCUAACGCUAUGAACAUCAUAAAAACGAUCCAACAUGUACAAACAAUUCCAAACAUUACUAAAAAGUAUUGCUCAAAUAACCCAAAUUCAUCUUCUUCCAUUGGUAAUCAACAUCGUUGAAAAAUAAACUUUUCCAGAGAGGAGACCAUCUUGUGUUGUUAGGACUUUUACUAGUAAAAAUAAAUAAAUAUAAAUAUG
Tribolium castaneum (red flour beetle) is the source of this 667-nucleotide long non-coding RNA. RefSeq lists it as uncharacterized. The record is from RefSeq and is a predicted model, not a curated record. The transcript is spliced from 3 exons. NCBI's taxonomy places the organism in Eukaryota, Metazoa, Arthropoda, Insecta, Coleoptera, Tenebrionidae.